This 1455-nucleotide ribosomal RNA is filed under the name uncultured bacterium. Its description in RNAcentral is "bacterial SSU rRNA". It matches the Rfam family "Bacterial small subunit ribosomal RNA". The record is from RNAcentral.
GAUGAACGCUGGCUACAGGCCUAACACAUGCAAGUCGAGGGGCAUCACGCUGUCGGUUUACCGGCGGUGGUGGCGACCGGCGCACGGGUGAGUAACGCGUAUCCGACCAUCCGCGGGCCCGGGGAUAGUCUUCCGAAAGGAGGUUUAAUACCCGGCGGCGUCAGGGGGUUCCAUGGCCGCCUGACUAAAGGAUUCGUCCGGCCCGCGACGGGGAUGCGUUCCAUUAGCUUGACGGCGGGGUAACGGCCCACCGUGGCUACGAUGGAUAGGGGUUCUGAGAGGAAGGCCCCCCACACUGGGACUGAGACACGGCCCAGACUCCUACGGGAGGCAGCAGUGAGGAAUAUUGGUCAAUGGGCGGAAGCCUGAACCAGCCAAGUAGCGUGAAGGAUGACGGCCCUACGGGUUGUAAACUUCUUUUGCGGGAGGAUAACCGGCGCCACGUGUGGCGUCCUGCAGGUAUCCCGCGAAUAAGCAUCGGCUAACUCCGUGCCAGCAGCCGCGGUAAUACGGAGGAUGCAGGCGUUAUCCGGAAUCAUUGGGCUUAAAGGGAGCGUAGACGGACCCUUAAGUCAGCCGUCAAAAGCCGGGGCUCAACCCCGGUCCGCGGUUGAAACUGGGAGCCUUGAGUGCGGUCGCGGCGCGCGGAAUUCGUGGUGUAGCGGUGAAAUGCAUAGAUAUCACGAAGAACCCCGAUUGCGAAGGCAGCGCGCCAGUCCGCAACUGACGUUGAGGCUCGAAGGUGCGGGUAUCGAACAGGAUUGGAUACCCUGGUAGUCCGCACAGUAAACGAUGGACACUCGCCGCGGGCGAUACACUGUCCGCGGCCCAGCGAAAGCGUUAAGUGUCCCGCCUGGGGAGUACGCCGGCAACGGUGAAACUCAAAGGAAUUGACGGGGGCCCGCACAAGCGGAGGAACAUGUGGUUUAAUUCGAUGAUACGCGAGGAACCUUACCCGGGCUCGAAGUUCGGCGGGAUGAUAUGGAGACAUGUCAGUCCUUCGGGACCGCCGCAUAGGUGCUGCAUGGUUGUCGUCAGCUCGUGCCCGUGAGGUGUCGGCUUAAGUGCCAUAACGAGCGCAACCCCUCCCUCCAGUUGCCAUCGGGUAAAGCCGGGGACUCUGGAGGCACUGCCAUCGCAAGAUGUGAGGAAGGCGGGGAUGACGUCAAAUCAGCACGGCCCUUACGUCCGGGGCUACACACGUGUUACAAUGGGGGGUACAGAGCGCAGCGUACCGGCGACGGCGCGCGAAUCGUGAAAUCCCCUCCCAGUUCGGACUGGAGUCUGCAACCCGACUCCACGAAGCUGGAUUCGCUAGUAAUCGCGCAUCAGCCAUGGCGCGGUGAAUACGUUCCCGGGCCUUGUACACACCGCCCGUCAAGCCAUGAAAGCCGGGGGUACCUGAAGUGCGUAGCCGAGAGGGUCGCCCUAGGGUAAGACCGGUGAUUGGGGCUA